GCCGGCGUAGCUCAGCUGGUUAGAGCGACUGUCUUGUAAACAGUAGGUCAAGGGUUCGAAUCCCUUCGCCGGCUCCC
Molecule: transfer RNA, 77 nt
Rfam family: tRNA
About the family: Transfer RNA (tRNA) molecules are approximately 80 nucleotides in length. Their secondary structure includes four short double-helical elements and three loops (D, anti-codon, and T loops). Further hydrogen bonds mediate the characteristic L-shaped molecular structure. tRNAs have two regions of fundamental functional importance: the anti-codon, which is responsible for specific mRNA codon recognition, and the 3' end, to which the tRNAs corresponding amino acid is attached (by aminoacyl-tRNA synthetases). tRNAs cope with the degeneracy of the genetic code in two manners: having more than one tRNA (with a specific anti-codon) for a particular amino acid; and 'wobble' base-pairing, i.e. permitting non-standard base-pairing at the 3rd anti-codon position.